This is a long non-coding RNA of Scophthalmus maximus (turbot), 1100 nucleotides long. RefSeq lists it as uncharacterized. NCBI's taxonomy places the organism in Eukaryota, Metazoa, Chordata, Actinopteri, Pleuronectiformes, Scophthalmidae. The transcript is spliced from 2 exons. The record is from RefSeq and is a predicted model, not a curated record.
GUUUGGCACCUUUAUGUGCUCUCUCCCAAUGGCCUGACUGAAGGAGGAACCCUCUGUGCCCACAAUUAAUUUCCGCCAGAGCCAUAAUAUUCCACUGGCGUCUUCAGAAGACUUUUAGUGACAUUGAGGUCCAUGGUCUCUGAGCCUGAUCUUCAAUGGACAUCUAUUCAAGACUUUCCUCCUGCCCACCCAACAAUCUACAUGCGCAGAGACCUUUCUCUAGAGUUCUCCACCUUCAAAGUUGUUUUGGUUGAUUCACUCACAAAUGAUUAGAGAAACGUUGUUUUUUAUGUAAUAUUACUAAUGUAAAUGUAUGAUAAAUUCCCAAAAUAUUUUGCAUGUUUUUUCACCAAGAUGCUUGAUGCUGAAACGUUGAAUGAGUUUUGAAAAUUUAAUCUCAAGAAAAUGCAUUGUUCAGGUUACUCUGGUGAUUUAUUUUACUGCUGUCUGGAGUGGAAUCGAUGUUUAAUUUGUUUGAUUAAUGAAUUUUAAUAAUGAGACAUGCUAAAAUCUGUAACAUAUCAAGCUGCUAACGAUUAGAGUUUAAGCCUGAUGUCCAAUCCACUCAAAGCAAUUUAAACCUUAAUCUCCCUCAGAUGGCAUUUGACCGAGCACAACAGGCUGAAUGUCUGUGCCGCGAAGCAAAUAUACUGAAAGUUAGUUUUUUUCCUUUGAAAUCCCUAAAUGAAAGAAACCAUAGCCUUUUUCUGAAAUAAACAUAUUUACACAUCAGUUCAUUUUGCUAAAGGGGGCUUAUGGUCUUGUAUGUUUGACAUUUCAAAGACUAAAUAAAUACAUGUGAUCUGAUACUAGCUCAUUAUUUACAGCACAUAGGACGUUUCCAAACCCUUGAGAUGGACUUUUUCUGGUGUCAUAGUUUGUCACAGCACGCACCUAGCCUCCGCCUUCUAAUCAAGACUGUGCGGCCAUUGUGAUAUGCUGAAAUUUGUAAAUGACCUUUAUGUGCAUGCUAUGUAAAGAAUGUGAGAAUGUUAGCCGUCACUCAUUGUGUUCUUUAGACAGCAGACAAUGUGCCAUGGGUUUAAAACUGCCUCUGAAGUGGGAAGGUUGAGUGUGAAUUAAAAAAUGCCAAGAAAUAA